GAGGCUUUAGCUUAAUUAAAGUGUCUGAUUUGCAUUCAGGAGAUGCAGGUUAAUAUCCUGUUGGCCUUA
RNAcentral lists this transfer RNA (69 nucleotides) under Nothocercus nigrocapillus. RNAcentral describes it as "tRNA-Ala". It matches the Rfam family "tRNA". Rfam says of the family: Transfer RNA (tRNA) molecules are approximately 80 nucleotides in length. Lineage: Eukaryota; Metazoa; Chordata; Aves; Tinamiformes; Tinamidae. The record is from RNAcentral.